GACGAACGCUGGCGGCGUGCUUAACACAUGCAAGUCGAACGAUGAAGCUGGAGCUUGCUCCGGUGGAUUAGUGGCGAACGGGUGAGUAACACGUGAGCAAUCUGCCCUUGACUCUGGGAUAACUGCGGGAAACUGUAGCUAAUACCGGAUACUUUCACUGGAAGGCAUCUUCUGGUGAAGAAAGAAUUUCGGUCAAGGAUGAGCUCGCGGCCUAUCAGCUUGUUGGUGAGGUAACGGCUCACCAAGGCGACGACGGGUAGCCGGCCUGAGAGGGUGACCGGCCACACUGGGACUGAGACACGGCCCAGACUCCUACGGGAGGCAGCAGUGGGGAAUAUUGCACAAUGGGCGCAAGCCUGAUGCAGCAACGCCGCGUGAGGGAUGAAGGCCUUCGGGUUGUAAACCUCUUUUAGCAGGGAAGAAGCGAAAGUGACGGUACCUGCAGAAAAAGCACCGGCUAACUACGUGCCAGUAGCCGCGGUAA
RNAcentral lists this ribosomal RNA (484 nucleotides) under uncultured bacterium. Its description in RNAcentral is "partial 16S ribosomal RNA". It matches the Rfam family "Bacterial small subunit ribosomal RNA", at positions 28 to 523 of the family's 1533-position model. The record is from RNAcentral.